This 164-nucleotide RNase MRP RNA is filed under the name Edhazardia aedis USNM 41457. Its description in RNAcentral is "RNase MRP". It matches the Rfam family "RNase MRP". From Rfam's summary of the family: RNase MRP is an enzymatically active ribonucleoprotein with two distinct roles in eukaryotes. The record is from Rfam by way of RNAcentral. Lineage: Eukaryota; Fungi; Microsporidia; Culicosporidae.
CAGUAUCCCGAAGAACAGCGACGGCGUUAAUCUGAUUGGCGCUGGGGAAAGUCCUCGGACGAUGGUAAGAAAUCAAACUCGAAAUGGGUUCUUUUUGUCAUUCAAAUAGUUAUGCUGUUAGGUCUGUUAGUACCGAACUUGAUGAGGCUUACUCUCGGGAGGCU